CAGGCUUUUGGUCUAAACAAAUCUCUGACUGUUUUAUCAGCUAAUCUAUAGUAUGAUCAAUAUGAAAACAUCAAUUUUUAACAAUCUAAAAGCUUUUGAGAAACAAUGGAGUAAUGGAGAGAGACUCUUGAAUUCUAAAAAAGAAAGAGAGUUAUCUUUUGUUGUAUUUUUUCUUCAAAAUGUAUCUCUUCUUUACCUUGUAGUUUUUUCUUUUUUUAAAUGGA
Molecule: long non-coding RNA, 224 nt
Filed under: Elaeis guineensis (African oil palm)
Lineage: Eukaryota; Viridiplantae; Streptophyta; Magnoliopsida; Arecales; Arecaceae
Description: long non-coding RNA (EGUI_LNC032080)
Source: RNAcentral